RNAcentral lists this ribosomal RNA (776 nucleotides) under uncultured Neocallimastigales. RNAcentral's name for it is "partial large subunit ribosomal RNA". It matches the Rfam family "Eukaryotic large subunit ribosomal RNA", at positions 26 to 628 of the family's 3401-position model. The record is from RNAcentral. Lineage: Eukaryota; Fungi; Neocallimastigomycota; Neocallimastigomycetes; Neocallimastigales.
CGUCUAUAUACGUAUAGCAUAUCAAUAAGCGGAGGAAAAGAAACUAACUAGGAUUCCCUCAGUAGCGGCGAGUGAAGCGGGAAGAGCUCAAAUUUGAAAUCUUCAAGGUUCUACCUUGACGAAUUGUAGUUUAAAGAAGUGUUUUCUGUUGGAGUUUUGGUAAAAGUUCUUUGGAAUAGGACAUCAUAGAGGGUGAGAAUCCCGUAUUUGACCAUUAUUUCCAACUUUGUGAUACACUUUCAAAGAGUCGGAUUGUUUGGGAAUGCAGUCCAAAAUGGGUGGUAAAUUUCAUCUAAAGCUAAAUACUGGCGAGAGACCGAUAGCGAACAAGUACCGUGAAGGGAAAGAUGAAAAGAACUUUGAAAAGAGAGUUAAACAGUACGUGAAAUUGUCAAAAGGGAAGCGUUUGACACCAGUGUUGUUUUCUCGAAAAUCAAUUAAAAAUGGUGGGAUUUUGUGUUGUAUUGACUUUAUCAGCUUUCUGCACUUUUUUCCUGUCUUUUUUAAUGCACUUUUCGUUUAACAAGUCAACAUCAAUUUCUUUUGUUGUAAAAGGGUCAUUGGAAGGUGGCUUUCUUUUCGGAGAAAGUGUUUAUAGCCUUUGACUUCUGCAAUCGGAGAGAUUGAGGUCUGCAGCGUAGAUCCUUCGGGGUUAGAUGCAUUUGUGCUAAGUUAUAGCCUUUCAUAGACAACUUGUUGACUAUGAUCAGUCAUGUAGCUUACUCGCUUAUGUUAAUUUUACCUACGCUUAGGAUGUUGACGAUCAGCUGAGCGCG